Molecule: ribosomal RNA, 453 nt
Filed under: Triticum aestivum (bread wheat)
Lineage: Eukaryota; Viridiplantae; Streptophyta; Magnoliopsida; Poales; Poaceae
Description: partial small subunit ribosomal RNA
Source: RNAcentral
AUGCUUCGACAUAUUUUGGAUGUAGGCACGUUUAAGUAUUUGAAUAGAUUAUGCUAUCUGAACAUGUCACAAUUGAGUUCCGAUGAGUUCGAAGAUGACGCCGAUGACCCAACAGAAAUUUUCUCUCUAGAAGAUUACUUGGCACAACAGAAUACUCUCAACAACUUUGCUACACAAAUAGCCACAAACAUUCAUGAUGCACUAGGAGUUCCAAGUACUAGGUGUCGGUCAGCCCCUAGGACAUAUAUUGUCAGGAAGAGAGAAUUUUACAGUGAACUUCUCAUAGCAGAUUACUUCUGUGAUAAUCCUACCUAUCCUGAUUACUACUUCCGUAGAAGGUUCCGCAUGGGAAAACCCCUUUUUCUACGCAUUGUUCAAGCUCUUGGUGAGUGGUCUCCCUACUUCACUCAAAGGGUAGAUGCCCUGGGCCGUCCAGGUCUAUCACCUUUAUAG